This 262-nucleotide ribosomal RNA is filed under the name uncultured archaeon. RNAcentral describes it as "partial 16S ribosomal RNA". It matches the Rfam family "Archaeal small subunit ribosomal RNA", at positions 722 to 982 of the family's 1478-position model. The record is from RNAcentral.
CACUGACAUUAGAUACCCGGGUAGUCCCAGCCGUAAACAAUGUGCGUUAGGUGUGUCGGUAACCACGCGUUACUGAUGCGCCGAAGAGAAAUCGUGAAACGCACCACCUGGGAAGUACGGUCGCAAGGCUGAAACUUAAAGGAAUUGGCGGGGGAGCACCACAACAGGUGGAGCCUGCGGUUUAAUUGGAUUCAACGCCGGACAUCUCACCGGAUAAGACAGCUGAAUGAUUGUCAAUCUGAAGGUUUUACAUGACUAGCUG